AACGCACGAGACCUGCGGACCUGCGGAGGGAUCAUUAGAAUAUCAGGAAGAUUUUUUUUUUAAAUCUUUCUAAUACGUUUAUUCAAAAAUUUUCGAUCUUAUAUAUAUAUUUUAAAAUACUUUUUUAAAAAAAAAUUAAGAUAACUUUCAGCAACGGAUCUCU
Molecule: unclassified non-coding RNA, 163 nt
Filed under: soil metagenome
Description: partial contains 5.8S ribosomal RNA, internal transcribed spacer 2, and large subunit ribosomal RNA
Source: RNAcentral